RNAcentral lists this ribosomal RNA (254 nucleotides) under uncultured bacterium. Its description in RNAcentral is "partial 16S ribosomal RNA". It matches the Rfam family "Bacterial small subunit ribosomal RNA", at positions 49 to 334 of the family's 1533-position model. The record is from RNAcentral.
UUAGGCAUGCAAGUCGAAUGGGUUUAGACCCAUGGCAGACGAGGUAGUAACACGUAGGUAACGUACCCUAAAGUCAGGCAUAACCCGGAGAAAUCCGGAAUAAUACCUGAUAGUCUCUUCGGAGUAAAGUUUUAACGCUUUAGGAACGGCCUGCGGGAUAUCAGCUUGUUGGUAGUGUAAAGGACUACCAAGGCUAAGACGUCUAGGGGAGGUGAGAGCCUGACCCCCACCGAUGGAACUGAGACACGGUCCAU